Molecule: long non-coding RNA, 1374 nt
Organism: Gallus gallus (chicken)
Lineage: Eukaryota; Metazoa; Chordata; Aves; Galliformes; Phasianidae
Exons: 2
Source: RefSeq, a predicted model, not a curated record
GCGGCCGCCUGUGAAGUGAAGCGAAGGGAAGUGAAGUGAAGUGAAGGGGGGUGGCGGUGAGGAGAGGCGGCCCCGACGGAGCCGCGGUGCAUCGCACGGCGCUGGGAGCGGCCCCGGAUACCGCCCAGGUGAGGUGGAGCGAUCCCCCUUGCACCAGGGUGUACGCGCGUCACCAAGAAACACAGGCCUGCUCUAUAUCCUUCCCGGCUAGAGGGUCUGAUUUCCACAUGUCAAGAAGCACUAUGGCAAAUCCACCUGCAGAAAGCACAGCCCUUCCAUUGAGUAACAAAGAAAGCACUCUGCCCUUGCUCCUGACCCUCGUCCCUGCCCCCACCUGCCCUCACAGUACAGCCAUCUUCUCUUGAGCAGGGUAAAGAGCAGUGAGAAUUCAUACUUGGUUAUCCUGGCACAAAGAGUUUGUGGGCCACAAAGAGAAAUCCCUGCAUUCCAGAAAACAGAGGCAAAAAGAGACAGACGGAGGAGCGCCUAAUAAAGAUGUGACGAUGUUCUCAGCUGCGGCUGCUGUUGCUGGAUACAAGCAACCACACGAGGGAGGCUGAGCACGCUCUCCUGUCUCCAUCCCAAUCCAGGAAACACACAGAAGAGCUCAGUGCUCUCUUGCUUUCAUUUCCUUCCAUGACCAAUUUUAAAAUGCACCUUGUUCUAGGCCGGCACAAGCUCUAGGGCCUAAAGGCAGCGCCUGAGUGGCCAGCACAGCCCCGGGGCCUAAAGCCUCAGCCAGAGAGGCAUGAGGGCCCUGUGACCUAAAGCCAUCACAAGAGAGGCCAGCACCGACCCCAGCGCCUAAAGCCACAGCCCGAGAUGCCUAAACAGACCCCGGGGCCUGAAGCCACAGGCAGGCAGGCCUGCACUGGCGCUGCAUCCUGAAGACUCAUCCCCAGCCUGAGAGGCCAGCACCAGCCCUGGGCCUAAAGCCAGAGUCACGGCAUCGAGAGGCCAGCACCAGCUCCAGGGCCUAAAGCCACAGCCCAAAGGGCCAGCACGUGCCCUGGGGCCUGAAGCCACUGCUAGAGAGGCCAGCACCGGCCCCAGGGCCUGAAGCCACAGCCUGACAGGCUGGAACCAAUCCGGGGAGUUCAAGCCACUACCACAGUUAGAGAGCUCAGCACAGGACUCAGGGUCUGAAGACACAGCCCCACCCUGAGAGGCCAGCACUGGCCUCGAGGCACACAGGGGUGCAUUCCAAUUGGUUUCUACUGAUUCCUAUUGGUCUCUAUUCACCCCCAUCAGUCCUUGCUGGUCUUUUCUGGACGCUGACGCAUUCCUUUCACAAAAACGAGGUCUGAUGUCCCACUCGUUUUCGGUUUUGUUGCCCGUUUGUAAAAUAUUUUAUGACGUAUACAUAUCAAUCUA